This 253-nucleotide ribosomal RNA is filed under the name uncultured bacterium. Its description in RNAcentral is "partial 16S ribosomal RNA". It matches the Rfam family "Bacterial small subunit ribosomal RNA", at positions 524 to 776 of the family's 1533-position model. The record is from RNAcentral.
UACGUAGGGGGCAAGCGUUGUCCGGAUUCAUUGGGCGUAAAGAGCGUGUAGGCGGCCAGAUAGGUCAGCUGUGAAAACUCGAGGCUCAACCUCGAGACGUCGGUUGAAACCAUCUGGCUAGAGUCCGGAAGAGGAGUGUGGAAUUCCCGGUGUAGCGGUGAAAUGCGCAGAUAUCGGGAAGAACACCCGUGGCGAAGGCGGCACUCUGGGACGGUACUGACGCUGAGGAGCGAAAGCGUGGGGAGCGAACAGG